UACAGAGACUGCAAGCGUUACUCGGAUUCACUGGGCGUAAAGGGAGCGCAGGUGGGCUGGUGUGUCGGGUGUGAAAUCCCGGGGCUUAACUCCGGAAUGGCGCCCGAAACUACCGGCCUAGAGGAUUGGAGAGGCGGGUGGAAUUCCAGGUGUAGCGGUGAAAUGCGUAGAUAUCUGGAGGAACACCAACGGCGAAGGCAGCCCGCUGGACAAAUCCUGACACUCAGGCUCGAAAGCGUGGGGAGCAAAAGGG
This 253-nucleotide ribosomal RNA is filed under the name uncultured bacterium. RNAcentral's name for it is "partial 16S ribosomal RNA". It matches the Rfam family "Bacterial small subunit ribosomal RNA", at positions 524 to 776 of the family's 1533-position model. The record is from RNAcentral.